CGGACGGGUGAGGUAACACGUGGGUAACCCGUCGCCCGGAAGUGGGGAAUACCUCGGGGAAACUCGAGCUAAUACCGCAUAACAUCUUCGGGACGAAAGUCCUGACGAUCAAAGCGGGGUCGCAAGAUCUCGCGCUACCGGAUGGGCCCGCGCCCGAUUAGCUAGUUGGUGGGGUAACGGCUCACCAAGGCUUCGAUCGGUAACCGGCCUGAGAGGGCGAUCGGUCACACCGGAACUGAGACACGGUCCGG
RNAcentral lists this ribosomal RNA (251 nucleotides) under uncultured bacterium. Its description in RNAcentral is "partial 16S ribosomal RNA". It matches the Rfam family "Bacterial small subunit ribosomal RNA", at positions 99 to 334 of the family's 1533-position model. The record is from RNAcentral.